This 496-nucleotide ribosomal RNA is filed under the name uncultured bacterium. RNAcentral's name for it is "partial 16S ribosomal RNA". It matches the Rfam family "Bacterial small subunit ribosomal RNA", at positions 28 to 506 of the family's 1533-position model. The record is from RNAcentral.
GAUGAACGCUGGCGGCGUGCCUAAUACAUGCAAGUCGAGCGAACGGACGAGAAGCUUGCUUUUCCGAUGUUAGCGGCGGACGGGUGAGUAACACGUGGAUAACCUACCUAUAAGACUGGGAUAACUUCGGGAAACCGGAGCUAAUACCGGAUAAUAUUUUGAACCGCAUGGUUCAAAAGUGAAAGACGGUCUUGCUGUCACUUAUAGAUGGAUCCGCGCUGCAUUAGCUAGUUGGUAAGGUAACGGCUUACCAAGGCAACGAUGCAUAGCCGACCUGAGAGGGUGAUCGGCCACACUGGAACUGAGACACGGUCCAGACUCCUACGGGAGGCAGCAGUAGGGAAUCUUCCGCAAUGGGCGAAAGCCUGACGGAGCAACGCCGCGUGAGUGAGGAAGGUCUUCGGAUCGUAAAACUCUGUUAUUAGGGAAGAACAUAUGUGUAAGUAACUGUGCACAUCUUGACGGUACCUAAGCAGAAAGCCACGGCUAACUACGU